Molecule: non-coding RNA, 2721 nt
Organism: Anas platyrhynchos (mallard)
Lineage: Eukaryota; Metazoa; Chordata; Aves; Anseriformes; Anatidae
Source: RefSeq, a predicted model, not a curated record
AGAAAAGUCUUACAUUUUAAUUUUGAAUAGUUGGGUCUUUUAAAAUACAAACAAUUGCAGGUGAUCUGCAGAGAACCUAUUGAAAGAGUAAUUUCCACUAAUCCAAGAAAAUUAUAACGUAUCUGCAGAAAAUAUGAAAACAGAGAAAGGUUAAAUCAAUUAAGUAGGUUAUUUACUACAAAACACUCGAUCAGCCAUAGAAACUAACCCUGAACAGAUGUAUACUGUUCUGAUAUACACUUGUGGUCUAUUUGAAGAUAAGUUAAAAUGCUUUUCUUAAUAUCAAAUAAAUACUCUUCAAAAUGCUCCUUCAGAUCUUCAGUCAUUACUAAGAACAUGUGCAGUGCAGGAUUAAACACUGCAAAUAUAUGCAUCUUAAAGGUCAAGACCUGAAUGGAGAAGUCUUUAUUGCCAGCAUAAGAAUUCAUAAAAUCCCACAUAUCCCGUAUGCCUAAAGUCAAGUUCUUUAAAUAACUUGAAUUUUGAUGUCUGGGAUGAAAACAGACCAGUAUAAUUUUGAGAAGUACUGGAAGCCAUUUCAGUUGCAGCUGAGGUCCCUGUUCCCAUCCAGCCAGGCUCAUCUCCAGAAGGACACUGUAAAGCUGGCUGAGUCCCCACCACUGGGCAGACAUUAGGCAGGUGAGGGCCCCCAGUUUACCUCCACCCUACAUUUCUGACUACCUGAGAUUCCCAGAUCGGGUCUCGGAGUCUUCUGUCACUUCUGUGAACAUAUUUUUAGUGUCUGACUCUUCGAGUUCAAAACCCUGUACCUUGUGUUUCUGAACUGGCAGAGUGGCAAGGAACUUGUGGGAGCAGAGAGCACUUCUGAAAGAAGAGAGAUGCUUUUUCAGAUACAAUUGCACUUUGGAAGAAAGGACAAGACCCAGAAGCCAAAGCAGGCAACCUGCCUGGAUUUGGGCACCUAACUCAGAUCAGGUUUCCUAAUUCUAGGAGCAGACGCUGCAUAUCUGAACUACGCGUGCAUCUUUCAAGGUACUUCAGAAGGUCUUUGAUGGAAAUCAUGAAUCGUGAAUGAAGAUCUUUGUCUCAUGAAUGAAGAUCUUCCCAUUUUACAUAGUUGAUGUUCCAUCCAUGUUCUCUAACUGAGCUAUAUAUGAGAUUUGAGAUCUUACCGAUAAUGUUUUGUAUCUGGGAUGCACUCUGCUGUUGCAUGCAGUGUAGCUUGUGAAAGAGGGACAAUUUUACGUAGCUGGACAUUGCCAUCUCCCAGUUGCUUGUCCCAUCUUUCUUUUUUGUAUGGUCAUUGACUGUGAGCUCCACAAGCAAAAAACUGUCUUCUCUCCACAUAUUGGUACGCCUUGGAUGACAAAGUCUUGGUCCUUUCACAGUAAUAAAUGCUAACAAAGCAUAACUAAGGUCAAAGUAAUGACAGUAUAGCAUCAAAAGCUCUUUAAUAAUAAUAGUAAUAAACAGUGGUGGGUAUUUCAUGUAAAUAGGCAAUCUUUUAAAUGAAAUUGCUUUUCAGAAAGCAUACUGCAUUUCAUUUGAGAUUCACAAAACACUGUUUCCAUUUAAGAAAUCUCUGGUCCAUAAUAUACAGGAUUCUGAGUCAAUUUCAGUGUAGACAUAUCAGAGUUUCAUUGUUAUUGUUGUUUUGUGUUUUUUUUUCAGGGGUGGGGGGAGGUUGUUUGUUUUGUUUGUUUUGUUUUUGUUCCAUGAUAUGGGCAAUAGCUGGCAUGGUCCCUUCAUUCAUUCUGCUGCCAGCUGCUUUAUUAGCCAUUUUAACUGUCACUGAGCAGGACUAACGAGCCACCAGAGAGACUGGCUGAAAGGGAAGUUAAGCAGCUGAAUGGAAUGGGGUUGAAGGAAAAGGGGAACAUAAAACAAAUAGCCCCCCAAAAAGUUACUUUAAAACCUUGUUCUGCUUUUCUUUAAAACAAAAAACACCGUGGGAAUUACUGGGACACUUGCUCUUUUUCGUGAAGUGCAGAGCCCUGAUCUUCUGGAAGGCUGGGGACCAAUGAAAUCACCUGCACUCACAGCCCAAGCACAGAGUCCUAGGAAUAGUUUUUACUACAAGUUUGAACCAAAGCUUGUAUAGCCUUGCUACUAUUGUUUAGGUACACAGUAACUGAAAGGAAGGGGAAAAAAUAAGAGAUCUUUCACUGCUUCCAUUAAUGCUGGGUCGCCCUCUUCACCCCCCUGCAAAGCACCCCUGCAGUCACAGCAGCUCCACACCGCUAAAGCCUGAGACCUUUACCUGCAGAGCACAGGCAGAAGUCCAAAAAGACUUCUGCUCCUUUACACAGUGCAUCGAGCCAAGUGUCCUAACCCUCUUUAUAAAGAGAGGCUUGCAAAAAGCAAGCUCAGCUCUGCGAAGAAUGAGUCCUGCUGGAGUUCUCCUAGAUCUCCAAAGCAGAAAGGCACCUCCCAGUCCCAGCAGAAGGGCUCAGAUGCAGAUUACCCUGCUGCUGUGCUCGCACAGCCGAUCACGACUCAACAUAUGUUCUUUGCUUUUUUGGCUGGAGUUACGGUUGUCUUUCCUUUCCUCUCCUUCCCCCCCCACCCCCUCCACCCUCACUCUUGAUUCUCACAGGAGCAAUAAAUGCCAGUAGUAAAUAUUCUCAGCCUUACAAGGAUUUCACUAAAUUAAGGUUCACAUCCAAGCUUUGGGCAACUUCCUGUGUUCUAAAUGGGAUCCAAAUGAGGGUUUUCCAAAGUCUAUACAGUAUAAUAAUAAUAAAAAACAUAUCUAAAUCA